Molecule: ribosomal RNA, 268 nt
Filed under: Salmonella enterica subsp. enterica serovar Havana
Lineage: Bacteria; Pseudomonadati; Pseudomonadota; Gammaproteobacteria; Enterobacterales; Enterobacteriaceae
Description: partial 23S ribosomal RNA
Rfam family: Bacterial large subunit ribosomal RNA
Source: RNAcentral
UAAGUACCCCGAGGAAAAGAAAUCAACCGAGAUUCCCCCAGUAGCGGCGAGCGAACGGGGAGGAGCCCAGAGCCUGAAUCAGCAUGUGUGUUAGUGGAAGCGUCUGGAAAGGCGCGCGAUACAGGGUGACAGCCCCGUACACAAAAGCGCAUGUGCUGUGAGCUCGAUGAGUAGGGCGGGACACGUGGUAUCCUGUCUGAAUAUGGGGGGACCAUCCUCCAAGGCUAAAUACUCCUGACUGACCGAUAGUGAACCAGUACCGUGAGGG